This 497-nucleotide ribosomal RNA is filed under the name uncultured bacterium. RNAcentral's name for it is "partial 16S ribosomal RNA". It matches the Rfam family "Bacterial small subunit ribosomal RNA", at positions 28 to 507 of the family's 1533-position model. The record is from RNAcentral.
GAUGAACGCUGGCGGCGUGCCUAAUACAUGCAAGUCGAGCGAACAGACGAGGAGCUUGCUCCUCUGACGUUAGCGGCGGACGGGUGAGUAACACGUGGAUCACCUCCCUAUAAGACUGGGAUAACUUCGGGAAACCGGAGCUAAUACCGGAUAAUAUAUUGAACCGCAUGGUUCAAUAGUGAAAGACGGUUUUGCUGUCACUUAUAGCUGGUUCCGCGCCUCAUUAGCUAGUUGGUAAGGUAACGGCUUACCAAGGCAACGAUGCGUAGCCGACCUGAGAGGGUGAUCGGCCACACUGGAAGUGAGACACGGACCAGACUCCUACGGGAGGCAGCAGUAGGGAAUCUUCCGCAAUGGGCGAAAGCCUGACGGAGCAACGCCGCGUGAGUGAUGAAGGUCUUCGGAUCGUAAAACUCGGUUAUUAGGGAAGAACAAAUGUGUAAGUAACUAUGCACGUCUUGACGGUACCUAAUCAGAAAGCCACGGCUAACUACGUG